UAUCUCUGUAGAGUCUGCAUAUCAAUAAGCGGAGGAAAAGAAACUAACUAAGGAUUCCCUCAGUAACGGCGAGUGAAGCGGGAAGAGCUCAAAUUUGAAAUCUUCAAGGUUCUACCUUGACGAAUUGUAGUUUAAAGAAGUGUUUUCUGUUGAAGUUUUGGUAAAAGUUCUUUGGAAUAGGGACAUCAUAGAGGGUGAGAAUCCCGUAUUUGACCAGUUAUUUUCAGCUGUGUGAUACACUUUCAAAGAGUCGGAUUGUUUGGGAAUGCAGUCCAAAAUGGGUGGUAAAUUUCAUCUAAAGCUAAAUACUGGCGAGAGACCGAUAGCGAACAAGUACCGUGAGGGAAAGAUGAAAAGAACUUUGAAAAGAGAGUUAAACAGUACGUGAAAUUGUCAAAAGGGAAGCGUUUGACACCAGUGUUGUUUUCCUCGAAAAUCAAUUAAAAAUGGACAGGAUUUUGUGUUGUAUUGACUUUAUCAGCUUUCUGCACUUUUUUCCUGUCUUUUUUAAUGCACUUUUCGUUUAACAAGUCAACAUCAAUUUCUUUUGUUGUAAAAGGGUCAUUGGAAGGUGGCUUUCUUUUCGGAGAAAGUGUUUAUAGCCUUUGACUUCUGCAAUCGGAGAGAUUGAGGUCUGCAGCGUAGAUCCUUCGGGGUUAGAUGCAUUUGUGCUAAGUUAUAGCCUUUCAUAGACAACUUGUUGACUAUGAUCAGUCAUGUAGCUUACUCGCUUAUGUCAUUUUACCUACGCUUAGGAUGUUGAUCUCUCACAGUCGAGC
Molecule: ribosomal RNA, 779 nt
Filed under: uncultured Neocallimastigales
Lineage: Eukaryota; Fungi; Neocallimastigomycota; Neocallimastigomycetes; Neocallimastigales
Description: partial large subunit ribosomal RNA
Rfam family: Eukaryotic large subunit ribosomal RNA
Source: RNAcentral